CCACUGAACUUUCCUUCUAUUAGUAAGACAACGUAUAUCACCAUCCUUUUUACUCAUUGUUUCACUUUCAUGAGAAUUCUGAUGAGAAAUUGAAAUACCAUUACUUGGCCUUUUCAAGCUACUUUUAAGGGCUAUAUUUCUGAAAGUAUUACCAUCUUCCACAGGAAUUUCAUCUUUCCCCUCAUCGGUACUUAUAGACCCAGG
RNAcentral lists this unclassified non-coding RNA (204 nucleotides) under Hevea brasiliensis (rubber tree). The record is from RNAcentral. Lineage: Eukaryota; Viridiplantae; Streptophyta; Magnoliopsida; Malpighiales; Euphorbiaceae.